UUAGAUGACACAAACUCAAAGUAGUGACUAUAUUUCCAUCUGGAAAACACACAUAUUUCUCCUUCCUGCAUUGUUAUCGACAUGUGUCGCUCGGUGGUUGCUUGCUUGUGUCCUCGUUUCGCAUACGUGACGUCACUAUCAGAGAUGCAAGAAUAAAGCACACAUAUAAUUUUUAUUUUACAAAGGAUGACUACAAAUAUAGUAACGCGCAGUGACUUAGAUAAGUAACUUUAAUCUGAUUACUAUUUUGGAAAUAGUAACACGAUAAAGUAGUCGGUAUUAAAAAAAGUGGCCACGGUAGAGUAACGCGUUACCGGCAUCACUGGCUAUAUCAGUGUGAAGUCCGGACAGUUGAGACAUCAACAUGGCUUCUGGCAACAACAAGGGAGUGUACACUUUUUGAUGGAUCCAUGUGACAUUUGCCAGAACUGCCUGUCUAAGCCACCCCUAACCAUCCCAUCUGGAGCAAUUUAUGUUGCUUGGUAACACAUUGUUCUGCCUGGGGAGCAUCAGACAUGAGGACUGUGAACACUAUAGGGAAACUGCUUGGUGUCCAACAACUCUGAUCUAACAGGCCAGCAGAUGUUGAAAACUCUUGCAACUACAGUCCAGCAACCUCAGCCAAGCAUUACAAGACUCUUUGUAUAAAAAAGAAAUCCAAAACACCAGGAUGUGUCUCAUCUCCUGGAUUUGGAAUUCCAAUCCAUAAGAGCAUUCAUUGAUUCAGAUGCUAUUCGUGAGGAGGACAGACACAGGAAGGUUAUAGAGGCAUAUCCAUGUUUCAAGGACAUUAGACAUGUCAUGGAGGAUCUUCAACACAUUCUGGACAAGGAUAAUGCCUGUUAUAUUGAUGAACUAAAAGGAAGAUGGCAAGACUGCUGUGAGAAGUUGCAGUCUUUUGGUGUUUGGAAAAAGAUGCUGAAACCACCAAUGGGAAUGG
Molecule: long non-coding RNA, 940 nt
Organism: Girardinichthys multiradiatus
Lineage: Eukaryota; Metazoa; Chordata; Actinopteri; Cyprinodontiformes; Goodeidae
Exons: 4
Source: RefSeq, a predicted model, not a curated record